CCUACGGGCGGCAGCAGUGAGGAAUAUUGGUCAAUGGGCGUAAGCCUGAACCAGCCAAGUCGCGUGAGGGAUGAAGGUUCUAUGGAUCGUAAACCUCUUUUAUAAGGGAAUAAAGUGUGGGACGUGUCCUGUUUUGUAUGUACCUUAUGAAUAAGGAUCGGCUAACUCCGUGCCAGCAGCCGCGGUAAUACGGAGGAUCCGAGCGUUAUCCGGAUUUAUUGGGUUUAAAGGGUGCGUAGGCGGCCUUUUAAGUCAGUGGUCAAAUUGAGGGGCUCAACCAUAGAAUUGCCGUUGAAACUGGGAGGCUUGAGUAUGUUUGAGGCAGGCGGAAUGCGUGGUGUAGCGGUGAAAUGCUUAGAUAUCACGCAGAACCCCGAUUGCGAAGGCAGCCUGCCAAGCCAUGACUGACGCUGAUGCACGAAAGCGUGGGGAUCAAACAGGAUUAGAUACCCGAGUAGUC
Molecule: ribosomal RNA, 460 nt
Filed under: uncultured bacterium
Lineage: Bacteria
Description: partial 16S ribosomal RNA
Rfam family: Bacterial small subunit ribosomal RNA
Source: RNAcentral